RNAcentral lists this unclassified non-coding RNA (1933 nucleotides) under Hevea brasiliensis (rubber tree). The record is from RNAcentral. Lineage: Eukaryota; Viridiplantae; Streptophyta; Magnoliopsida; Malpighiales; Euphorbiaceae.
GUUUUCCUUGUGCACCUUCUCUCGCAACGGUUACGCAAUCAUUUAGAAGUCGCCCAAUUAUGCUGACAUGCAUGAAGAGAUUAUUGUACUCCUGGGUUUCCACAGCUUGCUCAGGGAGCUUAGAUCCCAUUAAAUAAAGUGAUAUGAGAAUAACAGGUCCUAAGGCAAAUGAUACAUAUCCAUUUGUAAUGUACUCAUACAUUGUCGGCACUAGUUUGUUUUUGGCCCAUUCAGCUUCCUUUAACAUGGUAUCCAGCAGAGUGAUCCAAAUAUCAAUCAAGUGCUUUUUGACGCAUCGGCCUUGUUGUUUGCUAGCCUUGUCAGCAAGGUCAUUAGUUGUGCCAUAAAUUGCAUAAAAGAGUAUCUCCACAUCUUUGGACUUGAAUCCAAUUGUUGAGUGUUCAUCCCAUCUCUGAAUCAAUUCGAUUAGAUUUAGAAGUUCCUCCAUUGAACCAGCAAAGUCGAAGAAAUCAUCAACAACUGUUGUUAGAACAGUGUUUUGAGCCCAUGAGAUGCGAGCAUCAGAAAGAUCAGGGUGGGAAAGGACUGCAGCAAUGGAAAAAUGGGCAUAUGCGAUCUUCUGCCUUGCAAACUUCAAUUUAUCCAAAUUAUAUUCUUUGACCCAUCUCUCCAAAUAGUCCAGUUCUUCGCGGUGUAUGGCCUGACACUUAUUGAAGUCUUGGAAUGAAAGUGUCAAGAGAUCUCUGUUAUCAAUAUUGAAAUACCUAUAAGAUGUUUUAAGAAGUGAAAUGUUGUCUACAUUGUAAUUCUCAAUGUAACGACGACUUUCAGUUCUCUCCAAACUGGCGUAUGGAUGCUUCAGAGCAUAAUCCACCUCAUUAUGUAAACUCUUGUCUUGAAUCGCCCCAGUACUCACUAACUCAUUUUCAAGGUAAGUUCUUGUCCAAUCAUAUAUUCUUUCAAGAACAGGUUCAUUUGGAAAUAUUAUCAUCUGUGAAGCCUUGUAUAACUCCAAAGCAAAAUUUACAUCACUCAUUGAAUUUAAAAUAUUUUCUUGUCUGUCAAAAUUUGCCAAUGCAUCUGAAGAGAUUUCGUAGCCAUUCAUCCGUAGAAGUCGAAAUCCCAAGGCACAACAUGCAGGGUCUAAAAAUAUUUCUUCACUGCCUUGCAUCCAAGAUCUGUAUAUAUCAUCUAGUGUGGUUGCUAUUACUUCUGUGAAAUGUCUAUCUAUUCCCAGCUUUAUCAAAUUGUCAAUCAUAUGGAGACGGGGAUAGAUAUCCAGGGGAUAAAUGGUAGGAACUGCGUUGUCGAAUUUUUCCACUAGUGAGGAUAGGUACUCUAAACAUUUUUCAUCAUGAAGAUGAGUUAAAGCAGCUGCAGUUGCAGAUGGUGAAUUGAAGAGUGAGCCGUUGCUUCUUUGAUAUUUCAUUAGCUCUUGCCAAUCAUUUAAUCGGGUCAGUCCCUCUGCAACGUAUGCAAGACGGUUUGUCUCUCCCAGGAAACUUUUAAUUUCCAAAUCUCUCUUGAGAAGCAUCCCCUCUAUUGCAGAGUUGUUGAAAGAAAGAUUCAAGCCCGUUUCUCUGGCAUGCUCAAUCAUGCCUGGAAAUAUUAUAUCAAAUCCACGCGGAGAACGUUGAUGCUUGUCAGUGGCNNNNNNNNNNGCGAUGAAGUCCAGACCUUUAUGUACAAGUUGGUCUGCAACAUUCCAUUUGUGUAGAGCUAGUAGACAGGCCAACGUGGAAGAGAUUGAGUCUUUAAUUAGGAGGGGAUGGGCAGGGUCGAGAGCCCAUGAACCAUCAGGCUGUUGAUUCUCCAUUAUCCAGUUCAAGCAUUCUGGGAAAAGAGGCUGCUUGAAACUAUUCUGAGAGGGUACCAUCGCAACCCAUGCAGUGUCAUAUGAAGAAACUGGCAGCUCAACCUUAUCUUUCUUCAACAUUUCUUUGAUUUUUCUAAGUGAAUCUUUUGUAUUCUG